RNAcentral lists this ribosomal RNA (505 nucleotides) under uncultured bacterium. RNAcentral describes it as "bacterial SSU rRNA". It matches the Rfam family "Bacterial small subunit ribosomal RNA", at positions 31 to 518 of the family's 1533-position model. The record is from RNAcentral.
GAACGCUGGCGGCGUGCUUAACACAUGCAAGUCGAACGCGAAAGGGACUUCGGUCCUGAGUAAAGUGGCGCACGGGUGAGUAACGCGUGGAUAAUCUGCCCUUAUGAUCGGGAUAACAGUUGGAAACGGCUGCUAAUACCGGAUACGCUCAAAAUGAACUUUUUGAGGAAAGAUGGCCUCUGCUUGCAUGCUAUCACGUAAGGAUGAGUCCGCGUCCCAUUAGCUUGUUGGCGGGGUAACGGCCCACCAAGGCAACGAUGGGUAGCCGAUUUGAGAGGAUGAUCGGCCACACUGGAACUGAAACACGGUCCAGACUCCUACGGGAGGCAGCAGUGGGGAAUAUUGCGCAAUGGGCGAAAGCCUGACGCAGCGACGCCGCGUGAGGGAUGAAAGGUUUUCGGAUCGUAAACCUCUGUCAGAAGGGAAGAAACUACGUUGUGCUAAUCAGCAGCGUACUGACGGUACCUUCAAAGGAAGCACCGGCUAACUCCGUGCCAGCAGCAGC